Manihot esculenta (cassava) is the source of this 1016-nucleotide long non-coding RNA. RefSeq lists it as uncharacterized. Lineage: Eukaryota; Viridiplantae; Streptophyta; Magnoliopsida; Malpighiales; Euphorbiaceae. The record is from RefSeq and is a predicted model, not a curated record. The transcript has 4 exons.
UUUUUCUCUUUUUAUGGGGUUUAGCUGAUUUUAUGUUUUUUUUUGAAAUUUUCUCUCACUGUCGGAUUUUGGUUUUGAUUUUUUUUUUAUUUAUUGCAAUAGCUGCUUGAUGCUAAUGGUCUUGAAUUACUCUAUUUCAACUCCUUGCCAAAAUUGUGUGUUCUUUGGCUGUUGGUUUGCUUGGAUUCAAAAUCCCUAAUUUUGCUCAUCUGCCUAUCUCACGAAUUUCAUCUCGUGAACCACCUGAAUAAUCCGACCUCCAUACGCAGACACCAAUGCCCUUCACUGAAUCCAGCAUCGCAGCUUCACCAUAGAGCUCACGCGCGCAACACUCAUCUCCACGCUUUCAACUCUCAUAAUGGAUCUGACCUAGCUCCCUUGAGUCACCGCAAUACUUUCUCUCUACCUACUGCUUCGCGUUGGACUACCAGGGAGCAAGCUUAGUGAUGCCGUCGACCAUUGCAAAGCUUCUGUGAAGCCAAUCGAUUGCUUUAUAGUGGAAUUCCAGCCGAGACACCCAUUUUUUACCCAAAGUCACAAAAUCACAUAGUUGCUCUCUCUCAGUUUUCGCUUGAACAAGAGAAAGGAUGUAUUUGCUGAAUAAGGGAAAGGAUCGAUGUGUUUGCGCUGGACUUCAAUCAAGUUGUUACUUUUGUCAAAAUUGUGAACAGAGCAGCUGAGCUUAAUAAGUUGUGGAGUGCAAUUUUCCAUCAAUUUGCAUCCGUUCUGGCAUAUCCAAGAAGAAAGCCGCGUCUCCAACUAAGUCUGACCUUUUGAAGUGUAGGUGCAAAAAUGAAUUCAAUUAUUCAUACGAUAACUAUUCGACUAUUCGUUGUGGAUAAAAGUUUAUAUUGGACCUUUUUCGAAUUGAGAUUUUUUUAAUUUCUUUUGGAUAUAGCUAUACAUUUAUUAUAUUUUGUUUUAUUUAGAGAUAAUAUUUUGUGAUUUUGUAUGAGACUACUUGUGUUAAUCGAAGAAUUCAAUAUCGUCAGUGAACAACUAUUUUGUAAGUGUUA